UCAGUCCGCUGGGCUCUCAAUCAGGUUUUCAAAAUACUAAUCUUGAUCUAAGAGCCCCUAUCUCUACAUCAGUGGAGGAAAUGAUCAUUUUUAGAGGCUUCUGGGCAUGGGGAAGAAGAAUGGUUUUCAGAUCGCAGAAGACCUGAAAGACUGGUCUGGCGUUCUCUUUACUGUGGACGCACUGCUGGACGAGGACCUUUUCCCGGGGUGUGAUUGUGUGCACACAGCCUUGCUCUGUAGGCCUCCCGGCGGCGAAUCCAAUGACUAAUCAUCAGCAAGUGGAUCAAAGCCUGGAUUAAACAACAUCGCUCUCUGUAUCUCCUGUGUUACAAAGGCCUGCGCUCAGUUCUGGAACUUUUCUUUGGCUUGGACCAAAGUUCGGGUCACUGCGUGGAGUCCAGCAGAGGCCGCGGUGCCCGACUCUGUCUGGGCACAGGUCAUCUCGCGGCACCCUCUGGCACCCUCUUUCAUCUCUUCAGAGAAGUCUUCGGAAAUAGUUUUCCCAGACACAAACGGGUGAAUAAAUCUGACCUCACCAGACUUUCCUGCAGGCUGCGAGCACCCUAGAGGCAGGAAACUUGCACUGUUCCUGACUCUGGAACCCAGUUCAGUGCCUGGCACUGGGCAAUAAAGGAUGGCUUUUUGAAUGAAACAAAGUAUG
RNAcentral lists this long non-coding RNA (661 nucleotides) under Mustela putorius furo (domestic ferret). RNAcentral's name for it is "lncRNA (ENSMPUG00000026374.1)". Lineage: Eukaryota; Metazoa; Chordata; Mammalia; Carnivora; Mustelidae. The record is from RNAcentral.